This is a long non-coding RNA of Ricinus communis (castor bean), 954 nucleotides long. RefSeq lists it as uncharacterized. The transcript is spliced from 4 exons. The record is from RefSeq and is a predicted model, not a curated record. Lineage: Eukaryota; Viridiplantae; Streptophyta; Magnoliopsida; Malpighiales; Euphorbiaceae.
CUUUUUUCCAAUUUCUUUUAAAAGAAUGCAACGAAUACUAUUCCCACAAUAGGAAAGAGCUUUUCAAAUUUCUAAUCCAAAUAGGAACAUAAGUGAGUGUAUAACUUAAUCUCAGCCUUCUAUUCCAAUCAUCUCUCUAAAUUUCCUUGUCCAGUUGAAGUUCACAGGCGCUUGACGUUUGGAAGGCCAUAUUCUUCUCACUAGAAUCUGAAAGGGAGUCUGAUUCUGUGUUGUUCCAAGUUAGUGGCAUGGAUUCCAUCAGCUUGUGAAUUCACAUGAUUUAUUGUGCUUUUAUGAUCAGGGAGUUUGUCAUCUAAUUUACGGUUCAUUCCUUCAUUCCAUUUGGGGUCAUUUCUUGGAUGAUUUGGUUUGAUUAUCAAUUUAAAAACCUAUUGAAUAAUGCUUCACAUAACUUGUUUUCAAUUAAUUUAUCUAUUAAUAUGACUUGAAACUGGAGAUUUGGCUGCUUGCUUUGCAGGAGUCCCUUUCUUUCAUCAAGCUAUAGGCUAAGGGUUAAAAAACAAGAUCUUAUCAGUUUGUUGAGAGUUGUUUGCGUUGAAGACUGGCUUCUUCUAGAUCUCAAUCUCCAUUUCUUGAUUUUAUGCCUCCCGAAUCCUAAUUAUGAGAGAUUUGAGCGUGUCUAGGAUUCUAUAAGCAUAGAGAGCAAAAUGUGGAUAAAAUAUAUUGAAAAAUGUGUUCUCUUGACUCUCUUGCUUAAAAUUUGGCAUUGUACUUUCUGUUGGAGCAAGUGUCCUAAAAAAUUGAAAAGCAGCUUUCUUAGGUCUCCCUCUCAAAUUUAUGAUUGACGUUCUCUAAUUAGUUGUGUAAUUGGAGUACUGAUUAUGCGAUUUUCUAAGGCUCUAUCAACUUGUGGAACAAUAUACAUUGUAAGUUUAGAGUAUGGAUUUUGCUAGAGCUUGCUCUUCAAUUUAUGCAUUGAUUGAUUGAUGAUAA